UUCUGAUAAAGGCAAACUAAUCGAAAGGUUAGGACGCAAAGCCCAGGGUCUAAGGUUAUGCUGUGAGACUUAUUGCUCAUUCAUAAUUAUGAUCGCCUGGCUGCCAAC
This 108-nucleotide non-coding RNA is filed under the name Sediminibacillus halophilus. RNAcentral describes it as "c-di-GMP sequence". It matches the Rfam family "c-di-GMP-I riboswitch aptamer". From Rfam's summary of the family: GEMM was predicted in a large-scale screen for bacterial structured RNA regulatory elements. Genes associated with GEMM are involved in a diverse array of functions, including chemotaxis regulation, signal transduction, secretion and chitin. Lineage: Bacteria; Bacillati; Bacillota; Bacilli; Caryophanales; Bacillaceae. The record is from RNAcentral.